AUGCAAGUCGAACGGAACGAUGAAGAGCUUGCUCUUCAGGCGUCGAGUGGCGGACGGGUGAGUAAUACAUAGGAAUCUGCCCAGUAGCGGGGGACAACUUGGGGAAACUCAAGCUAAUACCGCAUACGCCCUACGGGGGAAAGCAGGGGAUCUUCGGACCUUGCACUAUUGGAUGAGCCUAUGUCAGAUUAGCUUGUUGGUGGGGUAAUGGCCUACCAAGGCGACGAUCUGUAGCUGGUCUGAGAGGACGAUCAGCCACACUGGGACUGAGACACGGCCCAGACUCCUACGGGAGGCAGCAGUGGGGAAUAUUGCACAAUGGGCGAAAGCCUGAUGCAGCAAUGCCGCGUGUGUGAAGAAGGCCUGCGGGUUGUAAAGCACUUUCAGUAGGGAGGAAAAGCAAUGGGCCAAUACCCCGUUGUCUUGACGUUACCUACAGAAGAAGCACCGGCUAACUCUGUGCCAGCAGCCGCGGUAAUACG
RNAcentral lists this ribosomal RNA (482 nucleotides) under uncultured bacterium. RNAcentral's name for it is "bacterial SSU rRNA". It matches the Rfam family "Bacterial small subunit ribosomal RNA", at positions 55 to 527 of the family's 1533-position model. The record is from RNAcentral.